GACGAACGCUGGCGGCGUGCUUAACACAUGCAAGUCGAACGAUGAAGCUGGGGCUUGCUCCGGUGGAUUAGUGGCGAACGGGUGAGUAACACGUGAGUAAUCUGCCCUUGACUCUGGGAUAACUGCGGGAAACUGUAGCUAAUACCGGAUACGACACCUUCGGGCAUCCGAUGGGUGUGGAAAGAAUUUCGGUCAAGGAUGAACUCGCGGCCUAUCAGCUAGUUGGUGAGGUAAUGGCUCACCAAGGCGACGACGGGUAGCCGGCCUGAGAGGGUGACCGGCCACACUGGGACUGAGACACGGCCAAGACUCCUACGGGAGGCAGCAGUGGGGAAUAUUGCACAAUGGGCGAAAGCCUGAUGCAGCAACGCCGCGUGAGGGAUGAAGGCCUUCGGGUUGUAAACCUCUUUUAGUUGGGAAGAAGCGAAAGUGACGGUACCAACAGAAAAAGCACCGGCUAACUACGUGCCAGCCGCCGCAGUAA
This 484-nucleotide ribosomal RNA is filed under the name uncultured bacterium. RNAcentral's name for it is "partial 16S ribosomal RNA". It matches the Rfam family "Bacterial small subunit ribosomal RNA", at positions 28 to 523 of the family's 1533-position model. The record is from RNAcentral.